Molecule: non-coding RNA, 73 nt
Organism: Pristis pectinata (smalltooth sawfish)
Lineage: Eukaryota; Metazoa; Chordata; Chondrichthyes; Rhinopristiformes; Pristidae
Source: the annotation of a RefSeq genome assembly
GGGGAUGUAGCUCAGUGGAAGAGCGCAUGCUUUGCAUGUCUGAGGGCCCUGGGUUCAAUCCCCGGCAUCUCCA